RNAcentral lists this ribosomal RNA (120 nucleotides) under Cloning vector pYanni1. The record is from RNAcentral.
UUGCCUGGCGGCAGUAGCGCGGUGGUCCCACCUGACCCCAUGCCGAACUCAGAAGUGAAACGCCGUAGCGCCGAUGGUAGUGUGGGGUCUCCCCAUGCGAGAGUAGGGAACUGCCAGGCA